Molecule: ribosomal RNA, 402 nt
Filed under: bacterium
Lineage: Bacteria
Description: partial 16S ribosomal RNA
Rfam family: Bacterial small subunit ribosomal RNA
Source: RNAcentral
UGGGGAAUUUUGCACAAUGGGGGAAACCCUGAUGCAGCGACGCCGCGUGAUUUAGAAGGCCUUCGGGUUGUAAAAAUCUUUUCUAUGGGAAGAAAAUGACAGUACCAUAGGAAUAAGGACCGGCUAAUUACGUGCCAGCAGCCGCGGUAAUACGUAAGGUCCGAGCGUUGUCCGGAAUCAUUGGGCGUAAAGGGUACGUAGGCGGGUAAGCAAGUUAGAAGUGAAAUCCUAUAGCUCAACUAUAGUAAGCUUUUAAAACUGCUCAUCUUGAGGUAUGGAAGGGAAAGUGGAAUUCCUAGUGUAGCGGUGAAAUGCGCAGAGAUUAGGAGGAAUACCGGUGGCGAAGGCGACUUUCUGGCCAUAACCUGACGCUGAGGUACGAAAGCGUGGGUAGAAAACAGG